GCGAGCAUGCUGGAAUUGGCAGACAGGCACGUUUGAGGGGCGUGUGUUUAUGACGUGUGGGUUCAAGUCCCACUGCUCGCACCA
RNAcentral lists this transfer RNA (84 nucleotides) under Clostridia bacterium. Its description in RNAcentral is "tRNA-Leu". It matches the Rfam family "tRNA". Rfam says of the family: Transfer RNA (tRNA) molecules are approximately 80 nucleotides in length. Their secondary structure includes four short double-helical elements and three loops (D, anti-codon, and T loops). Lineage: Bacteria; Bacillati; Bacillota; Clostridia. The record is from RNAcentral.